GCCCGCAUAGUUCAGUGGAGAGAACAGGAGCCUUCUAAGCUUCAGGCACAGGUUCAAUUCCUGUUGCGGGUACCA
Molecule: transfer RNA, 75 nt
Filed under: Rhodoferax sp.
Lineage: Bacteria; Pseudomonadati; Pseudomonadota; Betaproteobacteria; Burkholderiales; Comamonadaceae
Also listed under: 1 other name
Description: tRNA-Arg
Rfam family: tRNA
About the family: Transfer RNA (tRNA) molecules are approximately 80 nucleotides in length. Their secondary structure includes four short double-helical elements and three loops (D, anti-codon, and T loops).
Source: RNAcentral